GUAUUAAAUUUUGCCUUGCGGCAGAUAAACAUACAUUAUUAUUUCAAACAAGAGUUUGUGAGUUUCGAAGGCAAGAUUUUACCCUCCCUUCGAAAUUAAAGUGCACAGGUGUAAAUGGAUUAUGGAGAGCGAGCACAAUGCAGUCGGACUGCCAGCAUCAACCCUCUGUAAUUCGUUAAUGAUCCUUCCGCAGGUUCACCUACGGAAA
Molecule: unclassified non-coding RNA, 208 nt
Filed under: uncultured fungus
Lineage: Eukaryota; Fungi
Description: sequence contains ITS1
Source: RNAcentral